RNAcentral lists this long non-coding RNA (2405 nucleotides) under Triticum aestivum (bread wheat). Its description in RNAcentral is "long non-coding RNA (TAES_LNC009805)". The record is from RNAcentral. Lineage: Eukaryota; Viridiplantae; Streptophyta; Magnoliopsida; Poales; Poaceae.
GCUUCAUUACACAGAAUACCAACAACAUGAUAAUAAACAAACUCCAUGAAACAAUACGAAUUUGCCUCAUCGAUUGCAAAGGUCUCUACAAAGUUGGCAAUGUCAGAAGACGAAUGAAAUUGUGAUUGUCCUGCCAUAUUAGAAAUCGCAACACUGAGCAAUCAUCUCAGUCUUCCUGAAUGAAUAUAUUGUGCAAUCCCUGAAAGUAAAAAUAGAUGCUUUUCAUAUGCGCUCUGAAACAUCCAAGCAUGGUCACCAACUUUUCAGUGCUGCAACAUCUGUCGUCCAUUGACAGCAUGCUUCUUAAGAAAAUGGAAAGAGUCUUACAAAAUGUUAGGAGAGAAGAGAUAUUUAGCCAAACAAGAAGGGCAUAUACAGAGCUCCAUCAGGAGGAGACCACCACUAACACUGCAACCUAUAAACAUGCCAGUUAGGAAUAGCAGGAUUGGAUGCAAGUUCCUGUCAAAAUCAAAACGAAAUCCACGGAUUAAUGCUCCUGUAUAAUAUUAAUUACCCAAUGGGGAUAAGCACAAGCAUCGGACGAUGUGAAAAUGCAUUACCAACAACCUAGAAUUGGCCAUCAUUCGUCAUAAUGAUCCUUCGAAAAAAUGUGUGAGAGCAAACACAUCAUCAUCAGUAUAGCUCAGUAGAAUUAGAAGCUAGUAAGAUCAUGUACACCCAAAUUCAAAUUCAGGGUAACAUCAAGUAUAUAUACUCUGCCUGCCAACAUUUAACAAAUAGAAUUUUAAAAAAAUAAGAAUUAACCAAUAUACGUUCAUAGGAGAGCUAGCUAGUUCCUUUUGUUUUGCGGGGAGAGAACUAGCUAUUUCUUAACUUAAAAAUUCAGCAUUCACUUAAUUCACAAGGUUCAAGAGAAACUGAAGUUUGUACCGCGAACUUGUACAUAUUCUUCCGUUCUGUAUUGCCCAAUCAAUUUAUGGACUAGAAUGCACGUGAGAAAAUGUAAAACUAUCUUUAAGUUCCUUGCAGAUUGCAAAAGAAAAUAGAAAUAUAAAUUUGAAACGGUCGCUCAUUUACAUUGGUAAUUGAGGAUAUAUGUGUGCAAUGGAAACAGAUCAUUUAGACAUCUGCUCGCAACCUUGAUGAUUUCCCCUCUGAAUAAAUUCAGCAAAACAGUUUAAUCACAUGCCUUAAUCAUAUUACGAGCUACAGGUUUCAUUAUGCUAACAUGGUACCUAAAUACAUCAAGGCGAACUCCGAGUCACGGAGCUCGAAUGGUAAGGACGCUGGCCAUGUUUGAAGGAUCAAAAACUAAUUAACAAGGUAUAUUUGUUCAUCCAACUUAUGGAGACUAUAUAUUCUUGUGUGCCUAACCGUCAGUACAACAUAUUUACCAUUUUCUCGCCAGCACAGGAUUGCCUCGUAUCCAAGUCCCUUGCGUACAUCUUCUGCUCUGAGAUUUCUUUGCUGAAUUUCAAUCCUCAUUGCCUAAUAAAUUCACAGAACAUAAAGCUGGUGUCAUCACUUCAAAUCUUGUCUUACGAAUAGCAUAAAACUAAAUUCCGCUCUGAUUUGAAGCUCGUAAGUUUGUGCAUAUUUCCAUUAACAAAUUCAUAGAGAAUUAGUAUUGCCACCUAGGUACUAGCUGGUCCUUUAUGUACAGCAUUACUAACAUUCAGUAAAUUCAGAUGCAUCAUUUAAAGCUACAAGGUUGCAAAUUCGUGCAAUUUUUUGACGGUGACUUUUACAGAAAAGCAAAAUCACAAAGAGGAUUCACAUGCCCCAUGAGAAACAAAAAUUAAUCUCAACUGGAUCGAAGUUUGAUGCUGUAGUGUUGUUCAUCCUUCUCCACAGUUUGAUACUGAAUUCACAUCGGCCUUGUUCGGUUGCAUUUGAUUUGAAGGGGUUUGUGAGGGAUUAAAUCUCCUGUAAGUCAAAAUCCUCCCCAAUUCCCUUCAAACCCCUCCAAUCCCCUCGGAGAAGGGAUUAACCGAACAAGCCCUCCUUGAAUUGAUCUUCAGACGCCCGUCUACACCAUAACCACCUUCCCUGCAGGUACCACACAAGCUCCCCAUAUUUCUUUCAUUUCAUCCCUUGGCCUCUCUUCCUCUUCCCGUGCUUGCCCCCCUCCCAAUAACAAAUAACCCUGAACUAACAAUUCAGAAAUUCAUGGAGGAUGAGACAGGAAUAAUAGGAGGAAAUAUUUCUUACCGCCGGGGGGACCGCCAAUUGUGGAGGGGCGCCGGAGAAGUUCGUUGUCGCCGCCGAGCUUGCGCCGGACCUUUGCAGCGCCCACAUCGCCUCCAGAUCGCUGCCGCGUGAGACAGGGAAAGGUAAAUACUCCACGCGCAAUAGAGGUAGCCAUCUCCUCCUGGUCGUCCCUCCGGUGUCGUGCUGCCGCCGCUCCGCAAUGGUGAUAGGGAUAGGAAGGGGCCCGGGGAGAG